ACAGAGGUUCUUGAUUUAAUCUCUAAACUGACGAAAAGGUUGUUCCAGUUGAAGCUAAGAUAUGUUUGUUGCACAUAUACCCUGAGGAUUUCCCAGUGACUGUAAAGGAACGUAAACUAAUUAAUUUUUGUCUGCUACAAGCUAAAUAUGUAAUUGCCUUAAAAUGGAAGGAGCUUCAGGGACCUACCUCUGGCCAAAAGAGUAUAGAGUUU
Molecule: long non-coding RNA, 212 nt
Organism: Sphaeramia orbicularis (orbiculate cardinalfish)
Lineage: Eukaryota; Metazoa; Chordata; Actinopteri; Kurtiformes; Apogonidae
Exons: 3
Source: RefSeq, a predicted model, not a curated record